AUGCUGAUACAUCAGAGUACAUCAGUGAAAACAUUGGACCUGGACCACUGGGUCCAGAGAAAAACUUCCAAGGUGUCCUAUCCUGGUCUCCAUCUCGAGGAAACAAUAUCAUUGUUACGAUGUAUUGAUCACCACUCCCAGAUCCUGGCUAGAUAUCCAACAUCUCUGAGUCAGACGACUAGGAGGCCUCAUAACCGCCCAAAAUGGGUCAAAGACACACUUUUACCAUCACUAGGUCCAAACCACCAGUCUGGGCUAAGACCUUCCCCAUGGAGCAGUGGAAUACCUGGUCACUGGAGAAAGGCCAUGUCAGUACCCUUCUCAUUACAUCAGCAUAUACCUGAUGUUCUACCUCAACCUCACCAUGGUGACCAAGUCAAAGAUGUAUCAGCACAACUAGACCAACAGGAAACAGUGCCACCUAAAGCAGAUGUAGCCACAGCUCUAAAUGGUCAUAUUCACUGGACAAAACCUCUAAGCAACAUAGAACACCAAGAGACAAUUCCACUUGGUCCUCAUCAUCAAGCUACGUCUUCUCACAGCCAUGACCACCAAGCUGAGGGUACACCAGAUCCAAAUACCCAGAUUGUACUCAAAAAAGAUCAAGACAAGUGGAAGGUGACAAAUCCCAUAAUCCAGGAAUACCAGGCAAGGCUUCCACAGGGCUUACUAGACCUUCAGGAUACAACUUUACUUAGUUCCAAAAACCAGACCAUACCUCUAACCAUCAGUGACCACCAGGCUGGCGAUAUGCCAAAUUCUAGUGUCCCAGUCAAACUCCACGAGGAAGCAGUCAACUGGGAAAUAGGACCAAUUGGACAAGAUCAACAGACCACAACUCCAACAAGCCAGGGCAAUUGGAUGGCCCUUCUUCCACCAGACAUACUACACCUCAACAUGAUUCUACCUAGUGGCUCUGACCACCAGGUCAUAUCCUCUCCCAAUCCUGACUUCCAGGCUGAGGAUAUAUCAGGCAAAAAUACCCAGAGCAUCUGUCCAAUUGCAGAAGAUCACUGA
Molecule: long non-coding RNA, 1017 nt
Filed under: Phascolarctos cinereus (koala)
Lineage: Eukaryota; Metazoa; Chordata; Mammalia; Diprotodontia; Phascolarctidae
Description: lncRNA (ENSPCIG00000018636.2)
Source: RNAcentral